CCUACGGGAGGCAGCAGUGGGGGAUAUUGCACAAUGGGGGAAACCCUGAUGCAGCGACGCCGCGUGUGGGAAGACGGUCCUCUGGAUUGUAAACCACUGUCCCCAGGGACGAAGAUGACGGUACCUGGGGAGGAAGCUCCGGCUAACUACGUGCCAGCAGCCGCGGUAAUACGUAGGGAGCGAGCGUUGUCCGGAAUUACUGGGUGUAACGGGAGCGUAGGCGGGACUGCAAGUUGGGUGUCAAAUCUACCGGCUCAACCGGUAGCCGCACUCCAAACUGCAGUUCUUGAGUGAAGUAGAGGCAGGUGGAAUUCCUAGUGUAGCGGGGAAAUGCGUAGAUAUUAGGAGGAACACCAGUGGCGAAGGCGGCCUGCUGGGCUUUUACGGACGCUGAGGCUCGAAAGUGUGGGGAGCAAACAGGAUUAGAUACCCUGGUAGUC
Molecule: ribosomal RNA, 440 nt
Filed under: uncultured bacterium
Lineage: Bacteria
Description: partial 16S ribosomal RNA
Rfam family: Bacterial small subunit ribosomal RNA
Source: RNAcentral